Molecule: long non-coding RNA, 5796 nt
Filed under: Lathyrus oleraceus (garden pea)
Lineage: Eukaryota; Viridiplantae; Streptophyta; Magnoliopsida; Fabales; Fabaceae
Description: Pisum sativum (pea) long non-coding RNA (PSAT_LNC035586)
Source: RNAcentral
UCUUGUAAAUAAUUGUGGUAGUGAAUACAUGUGCUGGAAAUUCUAAGAAUGACUGCGCUUGGUCCUUGGUGGAAGUUCGACUAAUGUUUUAAUGAGAUGAACGAUAUUGGUGUGCUACCGGUUCUUGUACAGGUAAAGAUAUCCAUUUGUCCCUUUAAUGUUUCAAUGUUGCAUCUUAUAAUGACCUUGGACUUUGUCUUGUAGUGUCUAGGAUUUUGCAUCACGGUUGCAGAUUGGUAGGCCUCUUGCAGUAAGUAACCUCAAGGCCAUAGACAUCCCUGUUUCAUACUUAUAUGUUGCUUUUAAGUUUAUGACAGUUGUCGCAUUACGCGAAAAACCGGCGGGAAAAGAAGAACAACAGAGCCGCCACCGUGCGUUAUUUAUCCCAAAAAGAGGGAAAGGAAACGCUCAGAGUAAACCUGGGAAAAGACGUGGUCCCAGCGACCAAAGAGAAGGGAUCGGGAGUCGGUUAUGCGAAGGGAAGGUAUUAGCACCUACGCAUCCGUCGUACUCGACGGGAUCCACGCACAAUAGGAAGGAAGAUGGUUGCUAAAACACUGCUCAAAAAAAACAUCUAUACAGGCUGAAGGAGACACAAGAAACAAUAAGACUGAACUCGGCAGGAUAUCGCAUCCUGGGCCUACUUAGUCUAUCAGGCAUAGACAUCAGAGUCAAAGUAGUUCGGACUGGGGAAACGACACAUGCUCGCUAGGAUAUCGCAUCUAUGCCUACGUAUCUUCUUUGGACGAAGAAGAAUCAGAGCAUCGUAGCUCGGCUGACCGCACACAAAAAACACAGGCAAAGGCAAACAUGGAGCCCGACAACCAAAUGAUGGAAUUAUGUCUGCAUCGACCAAAGCACACACAAGGAGGCAAACGUGGAGCCCGAACGCCAAUCACUGGACUUACAUCGACAUCCGAACCAAAACACACACCAAAGGAACCGAAUGCCACUCGAUGGACUUACAUCAGCUUCAAGCACGCAACAAACACCGAUGUGGAAUGCCAAUCGCUGGCUUACAUCAUCUCCUACACACGCAAGGGAAAAAGGGUCUCGAUUGCAACUAGGGCAAGAGAAGGGGAAGGUCUCAAUCGCAACGAGGGCGAGAGAAAAGAAUUAGUGUUAGUUGUUAGUCAAACUCGACAGACAUCGCAUCUCGUGCCUACGUAUCUCAUCUGGACAUGAGAAUCCGAGUUGCCGUUGUUCGGCUAAACUAUUCCUGUUGGUUUAUGUUUUUUAAGGACAACGUCGCUACGCACUACCGCGAUGCUCGACCUUUGGAGACUUACUCACCUGUGGUAGAAGGAGUUGACGUAUCCUUAAGAGGGGAUAAUGUUUGUUUGUGUUUUAGGAAAGCUCAAGCAAGAAAGGAAGUCCUAUGCGAAGGAACCGUGCUACCUUAAUUGACAUGCAAACGAGACUACGCGGAUCUAGCAACCUAGGAGAUAUGAUCACACCACAUAAGCACACACAAACACAUACAGCAUAAAGUAAACACCAACAGGGGGCUCAAACAUCAGGUUAGGCUUUAGUCGAGGGGUCAUAUCAACCUCAACAAACAAGCCUCUGUAUCCUCAGGGUUAGCUUAACCUUGCAUUGAGGGGCUAAGGUGAAGCUAGAUGAAAGGUGAUGAGGGUGUGCCUCAUUGCUUCUAUCUCAAGUCAGAGAGAGCAUCAGACAGGGAGCGUGGGUCCAGAAUGGGGGACCUUCUACGCUCAGGAAUAGACUCGACUGUACAGGUAAAAUCUUGGUGGAUCUCAAUGCUACAACCAUGUAAUGGGAGAAAGAGACUCACUGAAUAGUGGGGGAUAGAUUGCUGUAUCCCUACCUUCCACCAAUUGCCUCAAAUGAGACUUCCUGCUUGGGACAAAUAUAACAUACACAAGCAUGCUCUUAGGAGGACUUCAGACGUUUGCCCGGCGUAACAGCCGGGUCUCCGACUACAUGAGAAGAAGUUUUACUCAAUGCCAAUGCUUAUAAGCAAAGCAAUGCAAGUUCUUAAGAGAACUGAGCACUAGUGUACUGUACAAGUCAAACAGAAUCAGCAUCCCAUUCAUAAUCAGACAACAACAACAAGAAUCAAUAAUGUACAAUCAAACAACAAUGUGCAAGCACGGGCUCAAGCUCAAAUGCUAUGCAUCUACAAACAGCACUUAGAUUACAAGUAUCAAGCAAAACAUCCAAUGUGAAACAAUAUCCUUAAGCUUAACUCCUUAACCUGAAGGCACAAUCAACUUCAAAUGUAAGUAACAUGCACUAGACUAGCCUAGGUCAAAAAGAUGGAAAAAUCCUAAAACAGCAACCAAUUCAUGAUCAAGUCAAGCUAUUUCAAUAACAAAGGUACAAUUGGUCCCUAUCCAAACUAUGCACACAUUUCAAUUUAUGCAACAUACAAAGCAAAAGAGGCAUGUUAAGUCACAUAUAAAUGGCCAGCAGAUCACAUACAAAUAAUGCCAAAAAACAGGUAAAUUCCACAAAAAUAUAUCAUAAACAGGGGACAUUCAACAAGUACAUGUCAAUUUUAAGCCAUUUGGACUAGUGGAACUAUGGGAUUAAUUCAACAUGCUAAGCAUGCAAAAACACAAUCAAUAUGAAGCUACAAAGUACACUACUUCAAUUAAAUGGUAAACAGUGGAUUAAAUGGGAAUGGAUGGGACCAAAGCCAAAUGAAAGCUACACAUGCAGGAACUAUUCUACAAAUUUCAUGGUCAUAUCAUUCAUUCUGCUCAUUCUAUGCACAAAUAGCAACUACUCAAGGAAACACUAAUCCUACAACAGAACUAUUGCAUUCAAAUCCCUACCCAAAACAAUCCCAAAAAAUCAUCCAAAUAAUUUACACCUCUACGGGAUAUUCAGGUAUGGCACACAAAUUCAGCUUAAUGUGGCAAAUGGACCAUGUCAUCAAUGAAAAUCAACAAAACAGCCACAAGUAUAGGCUCCAUCCAAUCACAACCUCAAUAUACAUACUUCCACUUCAGAAAUUCAUAAUUCAAUGAAAACAAAAAAAAGAAAUGGAUGAGACCAAACAGGAUGUCACAUUAUGUGUCUAUACAAGCAUAUCAAAUUUCAUUGAUGAUACGUACAUAUGAGCAUUUCACAAUGAAUCUACCAACCCUAUUGUCAUACAGGCCAAUUUCAAUCAUCAGAAAAUGGAAAAAUCAUUGAUUCUUAGAAAACAACAAUGAUAAACAACUUUCCCAAAAAUUACCAAGCCACCUAACAUUUUAAGACAUCAUACCCAAUUCAACCAUUUAACAAGGAUAGGCCAUAUUAAAAAAUCCAACAAGUUUGGCCUUCAUCAAGAGCGUGUGAUCACAAUUGUCACACUCUUAAGGUUUCAAAAAUCUCAUAACUCCUAUGGCCAGGUAUUCAAAAACUCAUAAGAAAUUUAUAUGGAUAAAAAACCUCAGCCAGUUCAAUCAAUCAAACACAAAAAUUUUUCGCAUUUAUCUACAAUUGAGAUUUUAUGAUCAAAUCAUUCAAAGGUAUCAAAUUAUGCACAUGUGGAAGAAACCCUAGGUCAAAUGAAAAAUAUUCCAAGCACAACUUUGACCAAUAGGUCAAAAAUCAUCUACAGUCAAACACCAAGUCAACAAAAUUAUUUCCAUAAUUUUUGGAUUUUUCUAUAAUUUUAUAUGAUUUUUUAAAGGUAUUAAAGUAUUUUUUGGAUUUUGAAUUUAUUGAAUUAAUUAAUUAAAUAAACUAGUAAUGGCAAUACUGUAAUUUUUAGGGCGGGGGCGGUAAACGCCAUUUUUGAAUUUUCGAAUUGGAUUCAGGAUCUAACACGCGAAUAUCAUCAUCUUCGUUCACAGAUUUUCCAGAAUUUUCAACAAUGGCUCAAGAACACGCCUCUUCCAAAACCUAACCAAAAUGCGCAAUCUUAUAGUCGUUGGAACCGUACGAACGCGUAGAACACGAAUCUUAACUCCAAUUAACCUAAAACUUCCUAAAUCUCAAGAAUCGUUGAACUUAGGGUUUUGGAUCAUAACUUCGAGUUAAGAUUUCUUACACCACAGUUCACCAUUCGAAAAUCUAAACAUAUCCUCGUGAUCUACGCAACACGCACUACCUCACGCACACAAUCAUUCACUAAAGCAAGCGAUUCGAUUUUGGCACCAACCUGCUAUGGCAGUAAUGAUUAGGGACGAAUUUGCACACGAUUUAUCGAAACAGCAGCAGAACAAGUCACAGGAAAGGUGAUGUGAAGCUUGGAUUUGAUCAACUUUGCUCCUGUUGCUCGAAAUUGCAAUUCACCAUGUGAGGACCUCCUUUAAACAGUAGAGAAUGGCGUGGCUAUGGUGAUUCUUCAACACAAACAGAUGGAGUAUUGGAGAGCACAAGAUCAAUGCAAGAAGAAAAUUCCAAAUUGGUCAAGGUUUUAAGGAGUUUUUGGAGAUUUUUGUGUUUUUGAGUUCUUGUGAGUUCUUGGAGAAUUCAAUGAUUUUGAUCCAAAUUUUUGUGAAAAUGAAAUUCUGUUACGUUUAUGCAAUCAUUAGGCUUUUAUACCUCAACUCUAAUCAUGAUUAAUCAAGGGAUUAACCAAAUGGCAAUGUAAGCAAAUGUGCAAUUUUCUCCAAAUGGCCAAAAAUGCCCUUUCUCUAUAACAGUCCAAAUUGCAGCCUAAUUUUGGUUCUAACAUGUCCAAAAUACCAUAUGCAAUGUGUAGAAACAAUUCUCACUUCAAUUGGAUGCCUAUUUUGCAAUUUCACUAUGUGGUAGAAAAGAGUCCAAUUUUGCAUUUCCACUUUUCAAGUCAAAACUCAAAAUAUGAGGCCUAGCCAUGAAAUGAGGAUUCAAACACACUCCAAAUGUCAUUCCUGAGGUGUUAACAAAAGUCCCAUUCCAAAAUUCCAAUAUUUGACAUUUGACAAUUUGCCCUGAUCCAAUUUACAGUGUCCAGUUGAAGGUGACUUUGUGCCUUGGCCAUUUUUGGAAAUUAAUGAAUGCCACCCUUGAUGUACACUGUCAAAUGGUUAGAUUGCUGAUUAUAAAGGAACUUGCAUUUUGACAACCAUUGUGUUAUGCCUCCUGAUUAAGCGGUCUUUUUAAAUUCACUGAGCAUAUACUUUGAAAACCAACAUUGGAUUUUCAAUUGAUUCUGCAUUUUUGGAAUAGGUGAGAAAAGAUCUUCAAUUUCAUGUUGGACAAAUAUCCAUUUGAAGGCUUGUAUGAUGAAGUUAUCUUGGGAGAAAAAGUUUCCAUUUUGACGAGCUGAAAUUACACGGUCCACUUGCCAUUUUUGGAAACUUUUUGCCUGGCUAAUUCGUUCAACCUUGGUCUUUGCAAAUGCCAAAUGAGCUUCAUAUAUGGACAUGAUUGAGGCCUUCAAACUCAUCCAUCCUCCAAAUUCAUAUAAAUGAUCAGUUGACCACAGUUGACCAAGUUUCCUGGGUUUUCUGGUUGACUGAACAAUGACUGGUGACUUUCUGAGCAUCCAAUCUUUGGCAAACCACUUCAAAUGAUCCUUGGACCAUAUGAGCUUGAAAAAUCCACCUAGCUUGUUAAUGAAAAUGGCACUCCUUGUUUGACUGAUUCUCCUGAUCAGUUUGACUGAUUCAUCUACCUUGAGCCUUUGCUACUGUUGGGCAUAUGGACAAUGCAAUGUUAUGCAGUGGACAUUGUUAAUGCUAUGACCUAGUAUGAAAUGAAUGUACAAAAUGGUAGGGUGCAAAUUUGAGGUGCUACAACAGUGUGCAUUUUGCAACAGGUACCGUUGACUUUACCAAAGUAGCCUAUGUCGUGACAAUUCCGACACGGAGGUGAUAACUUCACAGCAUUAUUCUUCAAUGUGUUGGU